RNAcentral lists this ribosomal RNA (431 nucleotides) under uncultured bacterium. Its description in RNAcentral is "partial 16S ribosomal RNA". It matches the Rfam family "Bacterial small subunit ribosomal RNA", at positions 338 to 795 of the family's 1533-position model. The record is from RNAcentral.
CCUACGGGGGGCAGCAGUGGGGAAUAUUGGACAAUGGGCGAAAGCCUGAUCCAGCCAUGCCGCGUGAGUGAUGAAGGCCCUAGGGUUGUAAAGCUCUUUCACCGGUGAAGCGGUAACCGGAGAAGAAGCCCCGGCUAACUUCGUGCCAGCAGCCGCGGUAAUACGAAGGGGGCUAGCGUUGUUCGGAAUUACUGGGCGUAAAGCGCACGUAGGCGGAUACUUAAGUUAGGGGUGAAAUCCCAGGGCUCAACCCUGGAACUGCCUUUAAUACUGGGUAUCUCGAGUCCGAGAGAGGUGAGUGGAAUUCCGAGUGUAGAGGUGAAAUUCGUAGAUAUUCGGAGGAACACCAGUGGCGAAGGCGGCUCACUGGCUGGACUGACGCUGAGGUGCGAAAGCGUGGGGAGCAAACAGGAUUAGAUACCCUUGUAGUC